GGUGGGGUGGCCGAGUGGUUAAUGGCAACAGACUGUAAAUCUGUCGUGCACCGCACUACGUAGGUUCAAAUCCUACCCCCACCA
RNAcentral lists this transfer RNA (84 nucleotides) under bacterium. RNAcentral's name for it is "tRNA-Tyr". It matches the Rfam family "tRNA". From Rfam's summary of the family: Transfer RNA (tRNA) molecules are approximately 80 nucleotides in length. Their secondary structure includes four short double-helical elements and three loops (D, anti-codon, and T loops). The record is from RNAcentral.